AAUCCAUAGGUUAAUGAGGCGAACCGGGGGAACUGAAACAUCUAAGUACCCCGAGGAAAAGAAAUCAACCGAGAUUCCCCCAGUAGCGGCGAGCGAACGGGGAGGAGCCCAGAGCCUGAAUCAGCAUGUGUGUUAGUGGAAGCGUCUGGAAAGGCGCGCGAUACAGGGUGACAGCCCCGUACACAAAAGCGCAUGUGCUGUGAGCUCGAUGAGUAGGGCGGGACACGUGGUAUCCUGUCUGAAUAUGGGGGGACCAUCCUCCAAGGCUAAAUACUCCUGACUGACCGAUAGUGAACCAGUACCGUGAGGGAAAGGCGAAAAGAACCCCGGCGAGGGGAGUGAAAAAGAACCUGAAACCGUGUACGUACAAGCAGUGGGAGCACAGGUUUACCUGUGUGACUGCGUACCUUUUGUAUAAUGGGUCAGCGACUUAUAUUCUGUAGCAAGGUUAACCGAAUAGGGGAGCCGGAGGGAAACCGAGUCUUAAUUGGGCGUUAAGUUGCAGGGUAUAGACCCGAAACCCGGUGAUCUAGCCAUGGGCAGGUUGAAGGUUGGGUAACACUAACUGGAGGACCGAACCGACUAAUGUUGAAAAAUUAGCGGAUGACCUGUGGCUGGGGGUGAAAGGCCAAUCAAACCGGGAGAUAGCUGGUUCUCCCCGAAAGCUAUUUAGGUAGCGCCUCGUGAAUUCAUCUCCGGGGGUAGAGCACUGUUUCGGCUAGGGGGCCAUCCCGGCUUACCAACCCGAUGCAAACUGCGAAUACCGGAGAAUGUUAUCACGGGAGACACACGGCGGGUGCUAACGUCCGUCGUGAAGAGGGAAACAACCCAGACCGCCAGCUAAGGUCCCAAAGUCAUGGUUAAGUGGGAAACGAUGUGGGAAGGCCCAGACAGCCAGGAUGUUGGCUUAGAAGCAGCCAUCAUUUAAAGAAAGCGUAAUAGCUCACUGGUCGAGUCGGCCUGCGCGGAAGAUGUAACGGGGCUAAACCAUGCACCGAAGCUGCGGCAGCGACACUGUGUGUUGUUGGGUAGGGGAGCGUUCUGUAAGCCUGCGAAGGUGGCCUGUGAGGG
Molecule: ribosomal RNA, 1071 nt
Filed under: Salmonella enterica subsp. enterica serovar Enteritidis
Lineage: Bacteria; Pseudomonadati; Pseudomonadota; Gammaproteobacteria; Enterobacterales; Enterobacteriaceae
Description: partial 23S ribosomal RNA
Rfam family: Bacterial large subunit ribosomal RNA
Source: RNAcentral